Molecule: long non-coding RNA, 1141 nt
Organism: Tribolium castaneum (red flour beetle)
Lineage: Eukaryota; Metazoa; Arthropoda; Insecta; Coleoptera; Tenebrionidae
Exons: 2
Source: RefSeq, a predicted model, not a curated record
AAAUGCACAUAGCUGGCUACCAUACGCCGAAAAACGACCAGUUUAGCCACUGACUUUCGUGGGUUGAGCGUUUUCGGCCUUAGUUAAGUGACUUUCUCCAUUUGUGCUUUCACCCUAUUUUUGUGACACUUUUCACCGCCCGAAACCCGAACAAAGACGACCUUAAGGACGGAUACGUGAUUUGGCAAUUGCGGUGAGUGUGACACGAGAUUAUUUUCUCGGCGAUAAAUUCGGUAAAACGGCACUGUAAAAGGACCGAUCGGAGAUCUCGGCGACGGAAUAUAUUUACGGUUUACGUAACAAGACUGCCUACCUAACUGGUUUCCAGAGACAAAUUCACCUGACGAUAUUUAAUGACUUCCAAACUGCUCCGACUUUAUUACUCGCAAGCAACACUGUGGCGGUUUUACAAAAAGUGCAGUCGGGGGCACACUAACGCGACGCAUGGCUGGUUGUCUAACAAAACAAAGAUUUCACAAACGACUUAAUUUCAUUACCGGGUUGUUUCCCCGUUUAAUUAUUAACAAAUCAACGGUAACCCAAACGUAAAGGUUAAAGUAGCUGCGUCAACGCUGUAAUUUACUUAUGUAAGUCAUUUCGGAUCGAUUUUGUUAUUAUUAAACUGCUUAAUUCAGUAAUAAGUCAGUCGUGGUAUUUGUGCUGCAAUCAACUAGAAAAAAAUUCAUUCGAUUUGUGUGUUUUCCGCCCACGAGCUCGAAUCAACACGUCGCUACAAGUGCAGCAUUGAAUUAACAAUGUACCAGCAUAAAAUCGCAAUUUGUGAGACUUGAGGAAUUUGCUUCAUAAUGAUCUGGGAAUCAGAGAAGAUGCUGAAGAAGGUGUCUUUUCAGGAGUACUGUUAACAUCUUACCGGGCAGCAUUAGAUUACAUUUUAUACUUCUAAUACUGUCAGGUAAAGAUGUCCUCCGGGCUCCAAUCCACCACGAGAAGAUUUUUGCCAAGGCUUCGGGUCAAUGAUACAAAAUAAGAGAUUUUCUCACAUUUUUAAUGAUUUCUUAAUUUGCUCAGUAACUGGGUUAUCCACAAUAUACUAUUAGAGGCUAGGCAUUUAAAAUCAAAAUUGUCGAAAUUUCGCACAUUUGGUUUUUCAUUUUUUGAUAAUAAAUAAGACUACGAGUUU